This 460-nucleotide ribosomal RNA is filed under the name uncultured bacterium. RNAcentral's name for it is "partial 16S ribosomal RNA". It matches the Rfam family "Bacterial small subunit ribosomal RNA", at positions 338 to 795 of the family's 1533-position model. The record is from RNAcentral.
CCUACGGGGAGCUGCAGUGAGGAAUAUUGGUCAAUGGACGAGAGUCUGAACCAGCCAAGUAGCGUGAAGGAUGACUGCCCUAUGGGUUGUAAACUUCUUUUAUAUGGGAAUAAAAUGUUCCACGUGUGGGAUUUUGUAUGUACCAUAUGAAUAAGGAUCGGCUAAAUCCGGGCCAGCAGCCGCGGUAAUACGGAGGAUCCGAGCGUUAUCCGGAUUUAUUGGGUUUAAAGGGAGCGUAGGUGGAUUGUUAAGUCAGUUGUGAAAGUUUGCGGCUCAACCGUAAAAUUGCAGUUGAAACUGGCAGUCUUGAGUACAGUAGAGGUGGGCGGAAUUCGUGGUGUAGCGGUGAAAUGCUUAGAUAUCACGAAGAACUCCGAUUGCGAAGGCAGUUCACUGGACUGCAACUGACACUGAGGCUCGAAAGUGUGGGUAUCAAACAGGAUUAGAUACCCGUGUAGUC